Molecule: ribosomal RNA, 95 nt
Filed under: Acinetobacter baumannii
Lineage: Bacteria; Pseudomonadati; Pseudomonadota; Gammaproteobacteria; Moraxellales; Moraxellaceae
Also listed under: 1 other name
Description: partial 23S ribosomal RNA
Rfam family: Bacterial large subunit ribosomal RNA
Source: RNAcentral
GUUGUAUAGUCAAGUAAUUAAGUGCAUGUGGUGGAUGCCUUGGCAGUCAGAGGCGAUGAAAGACGUGAUAGCCUGCGAAAAGCUCCGGGGAGGCG